CUCGUGUCGUGAGAUGUUGGUUAAGUCCGCAACGAGCGCAACCCUGCAUUCAGUUGCCAUCGGGUGAAGCCGGGCACUCUGGCGGGACUGCCAUCGACAAGAUGGAGGAAGGUGGGGAUGACGUCAAGUCAUCAUGGCCCUUAUGUCCAGGGCGACACACGUGCUACAAUGGCCGGCACAGCGGGAAGCGAGGCAGUGAUGCCAAGCGGAUCCCUUAAAGCCGGUCUCAGUUCGGAUUGAAGUCUGCAACUCGACUUCAUGAAGCUGGAAUCGCUAGUAAUCGCAGAUCAGCCAAGCUGCGGUGAAUACGUUCCCGGGCCUU
RNAcentral lists this ribosomal RNA (322 nucleotides) under uncultured Synergistaceae bacterium. RNAcentral describes it as "bacterial SSU rRNA". It matches the Rfam family "Bacterial small subunit ribosomal RNA", at positions 1059 to 1382 of the family's 1533-position model. Lineage: Bacteria; Thermotogati; Synergistota; Synergistia; Synergistales; Synergistaceae. The record is from RNAcentral.